RNAcentral lists this unclassified non-coding RNA (372 nucleotides) under soil metagenome. RNAcentral describes it as "partial contains 5.8S ribosomal RNA, internal transcribed spacer 2, and large subunit ribosomal RNA". The stretch from base 1 to 120 matches the Rfam family "5.8S ribosomal RNA", at positions 35 to 154 of the family's 154-position model. The record is from RNAcentral.
GAUGAAGAACGUAGCGAAAUGCGAUAAGUAAUGUGAAUUGCAGAAUUCAGUGAAUCAUCGAAUCUUUGAACGCACAUUGCGCCCGGCAGCAAUCUGCCGGGCAUGCCUGUCCGAGCGUCAUUUCUUCCCUCGAGCGCGGCUAGCCCUACGGGGCCUGCCGUCGCCCGGUGUUGGGGCUCUACGGGUGGGGCUCGUCCCCCCCGCAGUCCCCGAAAUGUAGUGGCGGUCCAGCCGCGGCGCCCCCUGCGUAGUAGAUCCUACAUCUCGCAUCGGGUCCCGGCGAAGGCCAGCCGUCGAACCCUUUAUUUCAUGGUUUGACCUCGGAUCAGGUAGGGUUACCCGCUGAACUUAAGCAUAUCAAUAAGCGGAGGA